RNAcentral lists this ribosomal RNA (441 nucleotides) under uncultured bacterium. RNAcentral describes it as "partial 16S ribosomal RNA". It matches the Rfam family "Bacterial small subunit ribosomal RNA", at positions 28 to 507 of the family's 1533-position model. The record is from RNAcentral.
GAUGAACGCUGGCGGCGUGCCUAAUACAUGCAAGUCGAACGGGGAGUAGCAAUACUCUUAGUGGCGAACGGGUGAGUAACGCGUUGGUACCUGCCCCGAAGCGGGGGAUAACGGACCGAAAGGUCCGCUAAUACCCCAUGUGCUCGGUAACGAGUAAAGGUGAAAACCACUUUGGGAGGGGCCUGCGUCCCAUCAGCUAGUUGGUAAGGUAACGGCUUACCAAGGCGAUGACGGGUAGGGGACCUGAGAGGGUGGCCCCCCACAAUGGAGCUGAAACACGGUCCAUACACCUACGGGUGGCAGCAGUAGGGAAUAUUGGUAAUGGGCGCAAGCCUGAACCAGCAACGCCGCGUGUGCGAUGACGGCCUUCGGGUUGUAAAGCACUUUUGACUGGGACGAGGAAGGACGGUACCGGUCGAAUCAGCCUCGGCUAACUACGUG